RNAcentral lists this ribosomal RNA (465 nucleotides) under Vreelandella stevensii. RNAcentral's name for it is "partial 16S ribosomal RNA". It matches the Rfam family "Bacterial small subunit ribosomal RNA", at positions 338 to 795 of the family's 1533-position model. Lineage: Bacteria; Pseudomonadati; Pseudomonadota; Gammaproteobacteria; Oceanospirillales; Halomonadaceae. The record is from RNAcentral.
CCUACGGGGGGCUGCAGUGGGGAAUAUUGGACAAUGGGGGCAACCCUGAUCUAGCCAUGCCGCGUGUGUGAAGAAGGCCCUCGGGUUGUAAAGCACUUUCAGUGAGGAAGAACGCCUGGUGGUUAAUACCCAUCAGGAAAGACAUCACUCACAGAAGAAGCACCGGCUAACUCCGUGCCAGCAGCCGCGGUAAUACGGAGGGUGCGAGCGUUAAUCGGAAUUACUGGGCGUAAAGCGCGCGUAGGUGGCUUGAUAAGCCGGUUGUGAAAGCCCCGGGCUCAACCUGGGAACGGCAUCCGGAACUGUCAAGCUAGAGUGCAGGAGAGGAAGGUAGAAUUCCCGGUGUAGCGGUGAAAUGCGUAGAGAUCGGGAGGAAUACCAGUGGCGAAGGCGGCCUUCUGGACUGACACUGACACUGAGGUGCGAAAGCGUGGGUAGCAAACAGGAUUAGAUACCCGGGUAGUC